This 1726-nucleotide ribosomal RNA is filed under the name Solanum melongena (eggplant). Its description in RNAcentral is "bacterial LSU rRNA". It matches the Rfam family "Bacterial large subunit ribosomal RNA", at positions 760 to 2485 of the family's 2925-position model. Lineage: Eukaryota; Viridiplantae; Streptophyta; Magnoliopsida; Solanales; Solanaceae. The record is from RNAcentral.
CACCAACUGGAGGACCGAACCCGUGAAUGUUGAAAAAUUCUGGGAUGACCUGUGGAUAGGGGUGAAAGGCUAAACAAACUCCGGAGAUAUCUGGUUCUCUCGAAAGCUAUUUAGGAGCGCCUCGUGUAUCACUGUUGGGGGUAGAGCACUGUUUCGGCUAGGGGGUCAUCCCGACUUACCAACCCCAUGCAAAAACUCCGAAUACCAAUGAGUACAGCUUUGGCAGACAGACGGCGGUGCUAGUCCGUAUCGUCAAAAGGGAAACAGCCUAACCAUCAUCUAAGGCCCCCAAGUCACGGAUUAAGUGGUAAACGAAGUGGGAUUGAUUGACAGCAGGAUUGUUAGCUUAGAAGGCAGCCAUCCUUUAAAGAAAGCGUAAUAGCUCACUGGUCGAGUCGUCUUGCGCGGAAGAUGUAACGGGGCUAAAACUAUAUGCCGAAGCUGCGGAUGCAUAAUUUAUUAUGCGUGGUAGGGGAGCGUUCUGUAAGCCGAUGAAGGUGGAUUGAGAAGUUGCUGGAGGUAUCAGAAGUGCCGAAUGCUGACAUGAGUAGCGAUUAUGCGGGUGAAAAGCCCGUCGCCGAAAGUCCAAGGGUUCCAGUCCAACGUUAAUCGACACUGGGUUGAGUCGAUCCUAAGGCGAGGCCGAAAGGCGUAGUCGAUGGGAAAUUGGUUAAUAUUCCAAUACUUCUGUGUAAUGCGAUGAGAGGACGGAGAAGGUUAAGUCAGCCUGGCGUUGGUUGUCCAGGUGGAAGGUUGUAGGCAUGUAUCUUAGGCAAAUCCGGGGUACUCUAUGCUGAGAACUGAUAGCAAGCUGUACUUGUACAGUGAAGUGGCUGAUACCAUGCUUCCAGGAAAAGUCUCUAAGCUUCAGUUACACAGGAAUCGUACCCGAAACCGACACAGGUGGUCAGGUCGAGUAUACCAAGGCGCUUGAGAGAACUCUGGUAAGGAACUAGGCAAAAUGGCACCGUAACUUCGGGAGAAGGUACGCUGUUGUCUGUGAUAGGACUUGCUCCUUGAGCGGCCGACAGCCUCAGAAACCAGGCCGCUGCGACUGUUUAUUAAAAACACAGCACUCUGCUAACACGAAAGUGGACGUAUAGGGUGUGACUCCUGCCCGGUGCCGGAAGGUUAAAAGGAGGUGUGCAAGCACUGAACUUAAGCCCCAGUAAACGGCGGUGGUAACUAUAACCAGUCCUAAGGUAGCGAAAUUCCUUGUCGCAUAAGUUCGCGACCUGCACGAAUGGCGUAACGAUGGCCACACUGUCUCCCGACAUGGACCCGGCGAAAUUGUCGCUGUGAAGAUGCAGUGUAUCCGCGGCUAGACGGAAAGCCCCAUGAACCUUUACUGUAGCUUUGCAUUGGACUUUGAGCUACUGUGUAGGAUAGGUGGGAGGCUUUGAAGCAGGGACGCCAGUUUCUGUGAGCCGUCCUUGAAAUACCACCCUUGCAAUUCUGAUGUUCUAACUUGGCCCCAUUAUCUGGGGUAAGGACAGUGCCUGGUAGGUAGUUUGACUGGGGCGGUCUCCUCCUAAAGAGUAACGGAGGAGUUCGAAGGUACGCUAGGUACGGUCGGACAUCGUGCCGAUAGUGCAAUGGCAUAAGCGUGCUUAACUGCGAGAGCUACAACUCGAGCAGAGACGAAAGUCGGCUUAGUGAUCCGGUGGUUCCGAGUGGAAGGGCCAUCGCUCAACGGAUAAAAGCUACCCUGGGGAUAACAGGCUUA